This 84-nucleotide microRNA precursor is filed under the name Sorex araneus (European shrew). RNAcentral's name for it is "miRNA (ENSSARG00000015936.1)". The record is from RNAcentral. Lineage: Eukaryota; Metazoa; Chordata; Mammalia; Eulipotyphla; Soricidae.
GUGGACGGUGAAUUGUCGCCAAGCUGUUCCCUUUGUCAUCCUGGGCCUCCGCAAGGUUGGCCGGUCUCGGAGAUACGGAGCUCA